This 1292-nucleotide long non-coding RNA is filed under the name Citrus sinensis (sweet orange). Its description in RNAcentral is "long non-coding RNA (CSIN_LNC004820)". The record is from RNAcentral. Lineage: Eukaryota; Viridiplantae; Streptophyta; Magnoliopsida; Sapindales; Rutaceae.
UAAAUGUAUAAUAUUUAGGAAUAUUUUAAUUAAUUUGUAUUCUAGUUUAAUUUGGUUUCCUAUUUAGAGUCUUAUUGUUUAGGUAUUGCUUGUUUGGGUAAUAUUUCUAAUUUAGGCAUAAGUCUUAUUAAAAUAGGUUUUCUAAUCAUAUUAGGAUAAGUCUUACUUAGUAUAAAUAAGUGUCUUUUGUAUCUUUUACAAGCAGAGAAUUUUGAGUUUAAUAAUAUUUCAAUUUUCAAAUUUCUUUGUGAGUAUUUGAACAGUUAAUUCUUGGUAUUCUACGGAAUCAACGAGUCUUAACCCCUAAAUUCACGGUAUUCUUUUGAAUCAACGUGAAUUUAGUUGUUCUUUUGUUCCGGUAUUCUCUAGAAUCAACGGAAUAUUUUGAACAUUAAACUUCCGCUCUGCUGUACCGUACAUCCGCCUUGGCCGUACAGCAGUGUAUAUAUUCAAGAAAAAGAAAUGCGAUCGGUAAAUGCACCCGUAAAGAUAUUUAAUAAAAACCUCCGAAGAUGUCGGAAAGCUCUGAAAACCUCGAAACCCAUGAAAACCCUAGUUUACUGAAAACGAUUCCACCACCGCUGCCUGAGGAUCGUUCUACCAAAAAGGCUCGUUUUCGUAGCCAUGGUAUGGAUGCGGAUAACCCACCGUCGCUAUCUUUCAAGGAUGCACUCAUGCCCCGUACUCAACAGAGAAGUUUCGAUGAUACUGAGAUGGAUGACGAGUGGGACUUUGAACCAGGAGACGUAAUUGUUGGGGACGAUGGUGCCAUGCCAACUAUUAAUUUUUCCCAACGAAUCCAUGAAAAAUUAGUUAAACCGUGGCAAAACUCUGUGGUGGUAAAGUUGUUGGGGAGGAAUAUGGGUCACAUUGUUCUAGUCAUGCAAAGGUCCUAUAAACUGAACCUAGGAAUUACAGCUAGCCCUUUGUCGCUCAGGCAAAAUCAGAAAGGCAUGAAAAACUCACUCCAUCUUAAUCAAUGUCUUCAUCUCUCCUAUAUCAUGGCAAUUGCUUAACUAAUCGACACUCAUAAAAUAAUUGCAGAUUGAUGCAGAGCAAGAAAUUGAAGAAAUCCUAAUUCUAUUUAAAUGUAUAAUAUUUAGGAAUAUUUUAAUUAAUUUGUAUUCUAGUUUAAUUUGGUUUCCUAUUUAGAGUCUUAUUGUUUAGGUAUUGCUUAUUUGGGUAAUAUUUCUAAUUUAGGCAUAAGUCUUAUUAAAAUAGGUUUUCUAAUCAUAUUAGGAUAAGUCUUACUUAGUAUAAAUAAGUGUCUUUUGUAUCUUUUACAAGCAGAG